Molecule: ribosomal RNA, 573 nt
Filed under: Kuwania sp. 191009-JY-01(IN_Mat2)
Lineage: Eukaryota; Metazoa; Arthropoda; Insecta; Hemiptera; Kuwaniidae
Description: SSU rRNA
Rfam family: Eukaryotic small subunit ribosomal RNA
Source: RNAcentral
AAGCCAUGCAUGUCUAAGUGCAAACCGUCUCGUACGGUGAAACCGCGAAAGGCUCAUUAAAUCAGUUAUGGUUCCUUAGAUCGUACGCACGUUACUUGGAUAACUGUGGUAAUUCUAGAGCUAAUACAUGCCGACAGAGUUCCGACCAAUGGGGCGCGCUUCGCGGCGCGUCUUGUUCGGAAGGAACGCUUUUAUUAGAUCGAAACCGGCCAGGUGGCAGUUGCCGGGCGCUUCGGCGUCCGGUCGCUGUCGCGAACGGCUCGCGCAAAGAAUUGACGAAUCUGAAUAACUUUGGCUGAUCGCACGGUCUCAGCACCGGCGAUGUAUCUUUCAAAUGUCUGCCUUAUCAACUGUCGACGGUAGUUUCGACGCCUACCGUGGUGGUAACGGGUAACGGGGAAUCAGGGUUCGAUUCCGGAGAGGGAGCCUGAGAAACGGCUACCACAUCCAAGGAAGGCAGCAGGCGCGUAAAUUACCCACUCCCGGCACGGGGAGGUAGUGACGAAAAAUAACGAUACGGGACUCAUUUGAGGCCCCGUAAUCGGAAUGAACACAGCGUAAAAACUUGGUCCC